GUGAAGAACAGUCAAUGCUCUGAAUUGCUUGCAGUCUGACUAGAGGCACAGAGACUUAGCUAAAUUACUACCAACUUACAGAGAAACCUUUGGGUAAGUCUCUGCGCCUCUACUCAGACUGCAAGCAAUUUGGGGUAUUGACUGCUUCAAUUUGUGUUUGGACAGUACUAGUGUGGUAGGCGCUACCAUGAAAUGCUUGACUCUGCAUUAAGAUGCCACUACGGUUGCAAAGCCAACUACUCAAAAGGAUAUUUCCCACACAAUGUAUCCCCCUGCCUCUCAGCAAGAAUGCUAACCCUGAAAUGAUGACAAUAACUAUGUACCCAGUUCCAGGAAUGCUGAAGACUCAAGUGCCCAGGAAGUCUAGAGGCCACCACCCUUUCCAACAGAGCAGGUUGAAAACCACUGGCCUAGACCAUCCUAUCUAACUAGUGUCCAUAAACCACAUCAUGGCAUUGGCAGGAGGAACAGUGAUUCAGAGUAACAGAGACUGCUGUGGACCAGAGACCAAACACAUUAGU
This 521-nucleotide long non-coding RNA is filed under the name Crocodylus porosus (Australian saltwater crocodile). RNAcentral's name for it is "lncRNA (ENSCPRG00005007098.1)". The record is from RNAcentral. Lineage: Eukaryota; Metazoa; Chordata; Crocodylia; Crocodylidae.